UCCAGACUCCUACGGGAGGCAGCAGUGUGUAAUAUUGCACAAUGGGCGCAAGCCUGAUGCAGCCAUGCCGCGUGUAUGAAGAAGGCCUUCGGGUUGUAAAGUACUUUCAGCGGGGAGGAAGGUGUUGCGGUUAAUAACCGCAGCAAUUGACGUUACCCGCAGAAGAAGCACCGGCUAACUCCGUGCCAGCAGCCGCGGUAAUACGGAGGGUGCAAGCGUUAAUCGGAAUUACUGGGCGUAAAGCGCACGCAGGCG
This 255-nucleotide ribosomal RNA is filed under the name Salmonella enterica subsp. enterica. Its description in RNAcentral is "partial 16S ribosomal RNA". It matches the Rfam family "Bacterial small subunit ribosomal RNA", at positions 330 to 577 of the family's 1533-position model. The record is from RNAcentral. Lineage: Bacteria; Pseudomonadati; Pseudomonadota; Gammaproteobacteria; Enterobacterales; Enterobacteriaceae.